This 319-nucleotide long non-coding RNA is filed under the name Capsicum annuum. RNAcentral describes it as "long non-coding RNA (CANN_LNC012692)". Lineage: Eukaryota; Viridiplantae; Streptophyta; Magnoliopsida; Solanales; Solanaceae. The record is from RNAcentral.
GGAAUCAUUCUCAGUACCGCCCAAAUUCAUCCAUUCAAGCUCCUUCCUCGGCCAGUGCUCCCAUGCCAAAAUUUAGAGACAGGAAUAGGGAUAGGGCGUCAGGCCCUAAACCUCAGGGUAGUAUUAGUAGUGCCCGCACUCAUCCUCUUGGUAAUACUUAUAGCAAGAACCAUCAGGGUGUUUGCAGAGAUGAAAGUGAUGACUAUUUUAGAUGUGGCAAGCCAGGCCACAGGGUCAGAGAUUGUCCCCUGUUAGGAUUUUAGGGUCAGCAUAACCAUUCCUCAGCUCAGUUUGGUGGCCAGAACCAGCAAGGUGCCAC